Molecule: non-coding RNA, 148 nt
Filed under: Gorilla gorilla gorilla (western lowland gorilla)
Lineage: Eukaryota; Metazoa; Chordata; Mammalia; Primates; Hominidae
Source: Rfam by way of RNAcentral
GCCAGGUGUGGUGGUGAACACCUGUAAUCCCAGCUACUCGGGAGGCUGAGACAUGAGACUCACUUGAAUCCAGGAGAUGGAGGUUGCAGUGAGCCAAGAUUGCACCACUGCACUCCAGCCUGGGUGACAGAGUAAGACUUUGUCUCCU